Long non-coding RNA from Meriones unguiculatus (Mongolian gerbil), 2772 nucleotides. RefSeq lists it as uncharacterized. Lineage: Eukaryota; Metazoa; Chordata; Mammalia; Rodentia; Muridae. The record is from RefSeq and is a predicted model, not a curated record. The transcript has 3 exons.
GUCGGACACCGGCCCGCGUUCCAGCUGCUUCCUGGGGACUUUCAGGGGUUUUGCUUUCCAAGAGGGGCAAAGGGCAGUCUAUGACGCGGUUCCCCCACCCCCACCCCCGGCCAGAUGCUAGGGCUUUGGAGCGGCUAAAAUCUGGAUCGGGUACAGCAUCUCUUCACUGGCGUGAACAGAAGCACAGAGGCGAUGCUCCCGCCCCUGGUGAGGCCUUCAGGAGCCAAUCCUCUAGCUCCAAUCCUAGCUGCGAUGGAGAAUCUGCUAUCAACUUAGAUGGCUAGGCUACUCAGCCAAGGGGAAUUUGUGCACACAGCCGAAACGAGUGGUCUGGAGAGCAUGGAGCCAUGGGGAACACUCAUGCAGCACUGUUCAACCACAUCUGUGGAAGGGAGUGUGUGGCUAUUGGUCACAGGCACCCUGGCUAGAGGGGAGAGUGCACAACCACAGAGGUACAUAACCCCAGAUGCUCUGUGCUGGCAAGAAGACCAAAGACCCAAACAACAGCUAUCCUCAGCCAUUGCACAGGAGCUAUGUGCUCCAGGAAGCUGGGCAGUACUACCAGUGGGCUUGUUAGACAGCGAUUUAGAUAUAGCCAUGAAGAGGGUUCUUUGCCUGGGGUUUGGACCUAAGAACUUUUAUGAGAUGGGCUGGGAGUGUUUCUGUGUUUCUCAGUGGUAGGCUACUUGCCAGGCCCUGAGACUGGCACUAAGAAGACAAAGGCAGACCAGAGGAAAGGCCCUGGGUGUGGUAGAUUAUGCCUGUAAUCCAAGCAUACAGAAUGCAAGAAGGCAGAGGCAGGAAGAGCUUGAGUUCUAAGCCACCCUCAUCUCUAUAUAACUAGUUCUACUUAGUGAGAAGAGUCCUUACCCACAUUCUCCCUCCCUGCCCCAACAACAAAUAAAUACACAAAGAAAGAAAGAAAGAAAGAAAGAAAGAAAGGAAAAGAAAAGAAAAGAAAAGAAAAGAAAAGAAAAGAAAAGAAAAGAAAAGAAAAGAAAAGUUGAGUAUAAUAUGGUGGUACAAGCCAGCUGCUUGAGAUACUGAGGCAAGAUGGUUGCUUUGUCCGGGAAUUCAAGGGCAGCCUGGAAAACAAAGCAAGAGCCUAGCCCACCCCAAAUCCCAGAGAGGCUGUCAAUUUGCAGCGGGGGUGGAGGCUGGAGGGUCAUUGGAGGCCACUUGCACACUAGCUCCAGGAGAGAGCAAGACAUUGAUCCAGCAGACCAUGGUGAAUGUAAGAGAAGCAGCUCGCUGCCCGGGAGGGAGGACCAGCCAGACCACAGAGAAACCCCUGGUACCGUGGGUACCCAGUCUCAAGACCACACAAUGAAAUCUCUUUUCUCUCCUCAGAGAAACUUCACCAUCUGAAACCAAACUAAUCUGAAAGUUUUCAUUUAACUGGUUUAAUUCCUAUUGACAUAUUAAAGUGUCUGAAGACGCAUACAAAUACUCCAAGUGACUGAAAGAAAAUUUUAAAUUGCUUAAUUUAUAGCUCACAUACAUUAGUUAUUUUCUGAGACAGAGUCUCAAAGUCCAGACUGGCUGGAAACUUCCUUUGUAGACCAUUCUGGACCGUAAUCCUCCUGCCUCAGCCUUCCAAGUGCUGAGAUUACAGGAAUGUCUAGUUCAUUAAUUAAUUAAUUAAAGGUGGAUACCUUUCCCUUCAAGAUUAGAAUGUUACCUGCCUCCGUCUUUCGAGAACCUUGGUUUUGUUCAGAGAUUUAAGUAACUCAAGCGCCAUAGCAACCUGGUGUCCACUAACACAAUACCUUAGUGAGCCUGAGCCAGCAUGCCCCCUCCCCCAUUGGUUGGGUUCAGGGGCCACAGUGGGCUUCCAGGAACAGGGUUAGCAGGCCUGUUAGUUCCUAUAUCAGGCUGGCACCGCUGAUCUCAGAAUGUUCUUUUUUGUGAGACAAGGAAAAAAAGUCUCCAUCAUAUAAGUGACAGAUAUAAAGAUAUCACAGUUAUUAAUCACAACUAGAUCAAUGUAUCCCGAAUUGAGGAGACUUAGCGGUCCUAUGUACAGUGUAAUUCUGAAUUACGUCCUGGAAAGUACAUGGAUGUGGAAUCCAUUUCUGCCCCCAUGUUGUUACUUCCAAGCUGGGCACCCUGACAAGCUGUUUCGUUUUUAUCAGUUUUACUUUCUUUGUACAUUGAAAGAAAACAAAAAUAUAGUUUUUUGUAAAUUAAGCGAGAUAAAGUCUUGUGGCUGGAACACACCCAAGACACAAUACGAACUAGCUAUAAUGGUUAUUAUCCAAACGAAAGAAGCAUGAGCUCUGCUUUAGUCAUAUUACAGUUACCAGAAAAGGCAGCAUGAAAUACAGAGCAAAACAAGACACAUAAAACAGACAAACUGCAGGAGUAAUGGGAACAUUUGCUGUUAGAGUUGGGACAAAAAAAAAAAAACAACUUAAUGAGAACAGGAAUUGGAAACCUGCCUAAUUUUUACAUUUUUAUAAUGUUCUUAAUUUUUUGAAUUCCCUGCCAAAAAAAAAAACCACCAAAAAACAAAAAACACUGCCUGCACAAUCACAUAAAACUCGUGAAAACAUUGUGAUCUCCUUAAUAAAUAACUUAAAGAAAAGAAACAAUCAAAAAUGCCCACUGAGACAUUUUCUCUUUAUACCAAUAGAAAAGUUGGUAGCCCCCCAAGUGGGGGAACUAAAUAAAUUAGGCUGCACGGUUGAUCCGGCUGCAGUUGUUAAGUGGUUAAGAACUGUGCAGCCACAUGGAAAAAUGGAUACAUUAACGGCUUUAUUAGUGGUUAGA